This 644-nucleotide ribosomal RNA is filed under the name Salmonella enterica. Its description in RNAcentral is "partial 23S ribosomal RNA". It matches the Rfam family "Bacterial large subunit ribosomal RNA", at positions 1 to 678 of the family's 2925-position model. Lineage: Bacteria; Pseudomonadati; Pseudomonadota; Gammaproteobacteria; Enterobacterales; Enterobacteriaceae. The record is from RNAcentral.
GGGUUGUGAGGUUAAGCGACUAAGCGUACACGGUGGAUGCCCUGGCAGUCAGAGGCGAUGAAGGGCGUGCUAAUCUGCGAUAAGCGCCGGUAAGGUGAUAUGAACCGUUAUAACCGGCGAUACCCGAAUGGGGAAACCCAGUGUGAUUCGUCACACUAUCAUUAACUGAAUCCAUAGGUUAAUGAGGCGAACCGGGGGAACUGAAACAUCUAAGUACCCCGAGGAAAAGAAAUCAACCGAGAUUCCCCCAGUAGCGGCGAGCGAACGGGGAGGAGCCCAGAGCCUGAAUCAGCAUGUGUGUUAGUGGAAGCGUCUGGAAAGGCGCGCGAUACAGGGUGACAGCCCCGUACACAAAAGCGCAUGUGCUGUGAGCUCGAUGAGUAGGGCGGGACACGUGGUAUCCUGUCUGAAUAUGGGGGGACCAUCCUCCAAGGCUAAAUACUCCUGACUGACCGAUAGUGAACCAGUACCGUGAGGGAAAGGCGAAAAGAACCCCGGCGAGGGGAGUGAAAAAGAACCUGAAACCGUGUACGUACAAGCAGUGGGAGCCUCUUUUAUGGGGUGACUGCGUACCUUUUGUAUAAUGGGUCAGCGACUUAUAUUCUGUAGCAAGGUUAACCGUAUAGGGGAGCCGGAGGGAAACC